UGAGAUAGAGGCGCGAAAUUCAUGAGUCAUGUAUCUAAGUGGGCACACGAUGAGGAUACAUAAAAGGGUAUUUCGCCGAAGGAUGGGAUAGGGCGGCUAUACAUCCUGGUUGCGUAUUUAAUAGGUACGUAACUGUCAUCAUAAGUAUGAUGGAGUGCUAAC
This 162-nucleotide non-coding RNA is filed under the name pig gut metagenome. Its description in RNAcentral is "Lysine riboswitch". It matches the Rfam family "Lysine riboswitch aptamer". Rfam says of the family: Riboswitches are metabolite binding domains within certain messenger RNAs that serve as precision sensors for their corresponding targets. Allosteric rearrangement of mRNA structure is mediated by ligand binding, and this results in modulation of gene expression. This family includes riboswitches that sense lysine in a number of genes involved in lysine metabolism, including lysC. The record is from RNAcentral.